This is a long non-coding RNA of Dreissena polymorpha, 1297 nucleotides long. RefSeq lists it as uncharacterized. Lineage: Eukaryota; Metazoa; Mollusca; Bivalvia; Myida; Dreissenidae. The record is from RefSeq and is a predicted model, not a curated record. The transcript has 2 exons.
CGCCUUUGAUAUUUACAUCCAAUAUUCUGACAUUUAAGUUUUUACUAUCAAUACUUUUUACAAGUGUUAAACUCAUUUUACUUAGAAAUUUAACAAUGUUAAUCGACGACUAGGCUUCCCGUGCCAGAAAAGUGAGCCGAUCGAGAGGCUUUCCGUGCCACAACGAAAGCGAAAAGAGGCAGCCGAGAAUGAACAGAGAGGCAGCAUUUUGACAGAGAGGCCACCGAUAUGCAUCUGUACCGUGAACUUGAGGUGUAACGAUACUGUUCUGAAAGUGUACAAGCAAAUAAAGGGCCAUAGUCCGGAAACUCUCGGUUGCUUCUUUUGGCUACUUAAAAAUGGUCACUGUACGUUAAAAAACCCCAUGAAAACGCUAAAUUGGAUUAAUGAUCAUGUAGACGUGACGAAUUCAGAUGGCAUAUGCCUAUAUAAGCUUUGUAGGUGUGUGUGCUCUAUUCAAGUCUAUGUUCAUCCAUAUUCAAGUCUAUGUUCAUCCAUAGACCGGGAAAUCUCUUAAUUGGGACUGCAAUAGUACGAUUGCGACAAUGCGACAACGCGGUAGUACGAUGGCGACAAUGCGAUAGUACGAUGGCGACAAUUCGAUAAUACGAUGACGACAGUGCGACAAUACGAUGGCGACAGUGCGAUAGUACGAUGGCGACAAUGCGACAGUGCGAUAGUACGAUGGCGACAAUGCGAUAAUACGAUGACGACAGUGCGAAAAGACGAUGGCGACAGUGCGAUAGUACGAUGGCGAUAAUACGAUGACGACAGUACGAUAACACUAUAGUACGAUGGCGACAAUGCGAUGAUACGAUGGCGAAAGUACGAUAUGACUAUCGUAUUAUCGCCAUCGUACUAUCGCACUGUCGCCAUCGUAUCAUCGCAUUGUCGCCAUCGGACUAUCGCCAUGAUUUUUUAACAUAACCACAUACCGAGCUCUUACAUUGUGUUCUACUCCCGAGUUCGUUGUUAGUAAAAACAAAUAAUAACAACAAUAUAAUCGUUUCAAAAAUGCAUUUCCUUGCAUGCAAAUGUUUUAUUCAGACAUAACUAGUAAAAUUGUAUUUGAUGUUGCAUGAUUAUCAUUACAAACGAUGAUUUUGUCAGCCUUCCCUUUAUGCGCUUACAUGAAUUCCACCUAUUUUUGCUAACCAGUGGGCGGAGUCUAAACUUUGCAGGUGGGGUGAAUUGACACUUCAAUUCCUAUUUUCAAUUGUAAAGGUCAUGUUCCCAAGUGGUAAAAAAAGCGCUAAAAUCAUAUGUCAAUGAUCAAUACCAUUAAAAUAUAAACGUU